UGUAUGCACAUUUAUUUUAAAAUAAAACAUACUCAGCAGGCAUAUGGCCCAUAUUUUGGGAACCCAUUACACAAAUUAACAUUCACACUCCAAAUGAUUAUUAUCACAUAUUUAUGGGAACCAUGCAUCCCUCUCCAUAAAGGCUAUAAGGAUCUGCAAGAAAAUAUAUGAAAUCUUUUCCCUGGCAUACCUAAUGAACAUCUCCCCACCCCCCGACAAGCACCCUCCAAAAAAGCCUGGGAAAAGAAAAAACGGCUUUGGAGAAUGUCAGGGAGGUCGUCCCACAGUUCAGUCUCUCACAUCACCCCCCAAACAUAUGCUGAUACACCCAUCCAUGCAGUAAUCUAUUAUUAUCAUUUACCACUCUGUGACUGUUAGAAAAAAAAAUACAUUUAAAAAAAAAAAAAAAAAGCAAUCAUUAAUAAAAAGCCAGGGAAUGGGGCCAACUCAGGAGCAGAAUUAAAACAACACACCCCGCUGAUGCUGAUAGCACUACACGAGGUUAUGCAGGCUCAAGUACAGACACAGCCUUCACCCACAGGAGGGAUGCACAAUGACCCAUAACAGCAGAGAUGCAAUGAGAAGUGCUAGGAUCGUGCAGGCACACUGGACAACUGCCCUUGCUGUUGAACAGCAGCACACAGACAUAACUUGCAAAUGCAGGAGAAUGAACUCCUUGGAGGAUCUUCAUAGCUCAGGCAAAUACUAUUUCAAGAGAUUCUUCAGCAAUCAGGCCAUAAGCUUCUCUUGUUAA
This 754-nucleotide long non-coding RNA is filed under the name Anas platyrhynchos platyrhynchos (common mallard). Its description in RNAcentral is "lncRNA (ENSAPLG00000019796.1)". The record is from RNAcentral. Lineage: Eukaryota; Metazoa; Chordata; Aves; Anseriformes; Anatidae.